This 726-nucleotide long non-coding RNA is filed under the name Sorghum bicolor (sorghum). Its description in RNAcentral is "long non-coding RNA (SBIC_LNC002282)". The record is from RNAcentral. Lineage: Eukaryota; Viridiplantae; Streptophyta; Magnoliopsida; Poales; Poaceae.
UGGGAAGUACCCUAAUUAGGAAGCACAAUUUUGUAUACUUCUUGCAAGUAGGGUACAACUCUUGACUAUUGGCUUCUUCCAACCUCUGAAGGGCAAGUAGCUCAUCACUAGGCUGAAAAGAACUGUUGUCUUCAAAAUCCCCUCUAUCAUCUAAACCACAAGCUAGAUCUCUAAGCAAUUCAGAUACAUCAUCUUCUUCAGUGGACUGUUCAAUAAGAUCAACAUCAACAUUAUUUCUAUGAUUCUCAUAAGAUGUACUUUCUUCUCCAUGUAAGUUCCAUGUUGUGUACCCUUGUAUAAACCCAUCGCAUAUUAGGUGCUCACGUACAUCACUAGCCUCUCUCCAAAAUGAGUUAAAUACAUUUUCUACAAGGACAUAAUAUCUUGUCCCCUACUGCUGAAUUUCUAAAUGCAAAAGCUAGAAAACCGUUCACCCCUUGUAAAUAUUUCUUUGUGUGCCUACAUGCAGGGAUGAAAACAGUACAGAUAUUUUGCGACCAUAUUCGAGACCAAAUUCGUUUAGGGGGUUCAGAUCUGUCCGUAUUCGAAUCCGAAUAAUCAACAUCUGAUACCGUAUCCGUAUCCGAAUACUUAAAUCGUAUAUUUAUGAUGUCGACAUCUAAUCCUAUCUUAUCCAAAAUGGUUGACAUUAUCCGUAUUCGAAUCCGAAUCCGACCAGAAAUAUAAAAACAAAUAUGGUAUCGGUGAUAUCCGUUCAUAUCCGAU